UGGGGAAUAUUGCACAAUGGGCGCAAGCCUGAUGCAGCCAUGCCGCGUGUAUGAAGAAGGCCUUCGGGUUGUAAAGUACUUUCAGCGGGGAGGAAGGUGUUGUGGUUAAUAACCUCAGCAAUUGACGUUACCCGCAGAAGAAGCACCGGCUAACUCCGUGCCAGCAGCCGCGGUAAUACGGAGGGUGCAAGCGUUAAUCGGAAUUACUGGGCGUAAAGCGCACGCAGGCGGUCUGGCAAGUCGGAUGUGAAAUCCCCGGGCUCAACCUGGGAACUGCAUCCGAAACUGGCAGGCUUGAGUCUUGUAGAGGGGGGUAGAAUUCCAGGUGUAGCGGUGAAAUGCGUAGAGAUCUGGAGGAAUACCGGUGGCGAAGGCGGCCCCCUGGACAAAGACUGACGCUCAGGUGCGAAAGCGUGGGGAGCAAACA
This 427-nucleotide ribosomal RNA is filed under the name uncultured bacterium. RNAcentral describes it as "partial 16S ribosomal RNA". It matches the Rfam family "Bacterial small subunit ribosomal RNA", at positions 355 to 774 of the family's 1533-position model. The record is from RNAcentral.